RNA transcript from Cryptotermes secundus, 2011 nucleotides. It is a transcript of the gene named protein O-linked-mannose beta-1,2-N-acetylglucosaminyltransferase 1-like, with no coding region annotated. The transcript has 4 exons. NCBI's taxonomy places the organism in Eukaryota, Metazoa, Arthropoda, Insecta, Blattodea, Kalotermitidae. The record is from RefSeq and is a predicted model, not a curated record.
UUAAUCAUUAUUGUGUUUUGUUUAUUUUAAAAAUCGUUCAACUACAAUGGCCCAUACUCUCUGAUAUUUAUGAAAUACAUUUGCUCACAUGGUGAUGUCUGUAUUAUGACACUGUUUUCUUGUAAUGUUGGUGGUUACGAAUGAUUUGGAGGAAGAGGGUUCAUCUUGAAUAUUCAACCCUGAGGAUGGAAGUAGCAUGUUUCACCGAAGCACUAGGACCAGACUUCCAGAUUACAAUGUGAAAUCAUAAUAACAUUCGUCAAAACGGAAGGACCGAAAGACUUUGUAAUGUGGCUGCAAGUAGCCAAGUGCUUCAAAAUCUGGGACCUUGAUGUUCGAGGUUAUAACAAGAGUAUGUGGAGACUGCACAUGAAGGGCAGUGAAAUGCUUGUCAUUGGAGUGCCAAACUCAGAGUAUUCAAAAUUCAAACCUUUGAAUAUCACUCCAAUUUAUUUGGAACCUCAUUAAGAGAAGACUGAUGUCAGAUAGCUGGAGGUAACAGCGUUUAGAAGAUUCAUGGAUCCAACAUUGCCGUGAAGAUGAGCCAUCUGUGACACAGAGAUCUUAAUUUGAAGAUAGGACAUUAUUUUAAGGCUUUACCAUCUUGCCUGUGACAGUUCGUUAUGAGAAACUGUAAAAACUUUUCUUCUUAAGAUGCCAAGACUGUGUGCUGAUUUUCACUCUCCAUGAUGUGUGACAGUAAAAGGGGUGUGUACAUUGUGAAUGUGUACCAGAAUGAAAAUAUUAUUGUAGAUCCAUAGAAAGAAGUAGGUAUACCAUCUGAGUUGGAGUUACAGAUUUAGAAGUACAGUAAAUUCCUGUUUGUCUGGUAUCGAGGCAUCCAGGAUUUUCAUUCAGCUGGUAAAAAUUGCUAAGAAAAUUAUAAAGUCAUUAAAAUAAUUAAUAAUUAUGAGUGUAUUUUCACUCACUAUACAAUAGUCCUCCCAGCUUCUACUAGCAGUACUACCCAUUAUGCAGAGGCUAGUUGAAUUUGUGAUCUUGUGAAUUCAAAAUCUUUCACCUGUCAAUCUGCAUUAUUGUAUGGGAAUAGUCCAUGCAAGAAUGUGAUAUUUUGAUUAUAAAUUAGGUCUCUGCAAGAACUUUUCUCAUGAAAGAAGCAGAUUCAUGUAACUGGCAGACCCCAUUAUCUAUACAUGCCAAGUAACUGUGGUUUACUGUACUAAUUAAUAGGAUAGAUUCAUCUUCAGUAUAAAUGAAAACAUAUAAAUCAAGAUUUUGUAAUUUAAUUUUUAGUACCAAAUGUACACUUGUGGGAACAUUCAUAAGUUUCUUAGUAAAUAUGUUAACAAACCACUGAUCACUCAUGUGGCUGUGUGGGAACAGCUCUAUUUAAAUCAGUAGUGUACUAAAAUAUAUAAAAAAGUGGUAUAUCACAAACAAUCAUGGAAAAAAUUCUUAGUGAACCAUUAAUGAAUUGUGUUGCUGUGUAUAAACAGCUCCAUUUACAUCAGCGAUUCACUAUGAUGUGUCAGAAACAUGACACAACACAAAUUAACAUGGAAAAAGAGAUUUGGCCUUUCGUACAGGGUUGAGGUAAGCUAUUUGUAAUUCCCUGGCUGCAUUACUGUAGUCAAAUGAGACCUCUAUCAAGAAUUUGUAAGAUUUGUAAUGCUUUGUUUAAUUUGUAAACUCUCUGAAGCUCUUAUCACAUCAGAAAGUGGCAUAUCUUCCUCUUUGUUCUGGAAUACAUGAGUAUGAACAAAUAUGUUCACACUCAUGUAGAUACUGACUGACAUUGAACCAUAUCUGCGACUUUGAGUAGUGAUGUUUGUUAGAGAAGGAAUGUUACUGUGAAACUGCUGAAGAAUCCUGUAAGUUUGUACUUCUCAACCUGUUUCAUGUUGUAACACAAGUGGAUAUUGCUUUGUUCACAAGGAUGAAAUCCAGGAAAAACUACCAUCUUAUAUUUUCUGCAGUUUUGUGAAAUAUGAAUAUACAGCUGCUUCAAGAGUAUGAUUUUUCAGGAAAUAAAUUUUAUUUUCAUAUUGAA